This 284-nucleotide long non-coding RNA is filed under the name Homo sapiens (human). Its description in RNAcentral is "non-protein coding lnc-CCT5-30:1". The record is from RNAcentral. Lineage: Eukaryota; Metazoa; Chordata; Mammalia; Primates; Hominidae.
GUCCCCUGUAAUACAAAACAAAACAAAAAAAAACCCUAAUCUCUGUGGCCCUGAUUUGCUCCUUUCACCUUGGUGGUGAGAAAAAUGUGAGCAGAGGGCAAAGUCGGCCUUUUGCUCCUGCACUUUACUUUCCUGGCCCACUUCCUCUUAGGUGCAUGUGCCUGCAUGACCUGGGCUCUCCUACAAUUUGAUCACCCAAUCUGAUUUCCACUGUUAGUGACUUCAUAAACAAUUGUCCCAGAGACUUUUUUUUUCAUUCUAAGUGGGCUCAUGGAAAGCAGAUA